GAGAUCUGUAUACUGUGUUUUGUUUGUUUGUUUGUUUGUUUGUUUCUGUAAGGGAAAAGAAACUAUCUGCAAAGGAAGAUUCUCAUGCACAGAUUGAAACCCUCUGAGAUAUCAACCCCCUAGGUUGGCCCGUGCAGGCUUUCUUUGCCUUUAAGAAGAUGAAAUUGUUACCAAAGCAGGAGAAGAAUGUCAGACACUCUGCAUGCUUGCCAGAGAGCUCGCUCAUCCUCGCGAUAUCUUAAGCUGCGACUCAGAAA
RNAcentral lists this long non-coding RNA (257 nucleotides) under Homo sapiens (human). RNAcentral describes it as "HSALNT0188746". The record is from RNAcentral. Lineage: Eukaryota; Metazoa; Chordata; Mammalia; Primates; Hominidae.